GAUGAACGCUAGCUACAGGCUUAACACAUGCAAGUCGAGGGGAAACGACAUCGAAAGCUUGCUUUUGGUGGGCGUCGACCGGCGCACGGGUGAGUAACGCGUAUCCAACCUGCCCGCCACUUGGGGAUAACCUUGCGAAAGUAAGACUAAUACCCAAUGAUAUCCCACGAAGGCAUCCGAAUGGGAUUAAAGAUUUAUCGGUGAUGGAUGGGGAUGCGUCUGAUUAGCUUGUUGGCGGGGUAACGGCCCACCAAGGCAACGAUCAGUAGGGGUUCUGAGAGGAAGGUCCCCCCACAUUGGAACUGAGACACGGUCCAAAACUCCUACGGGAGGCAGCAGUGAGGAAUAUUGGUCAAUGGGCGAGAGCCUGAACCAGCCAAGUAGCGUGCAGGAUGACGGCCCUAUGGGUUGUAAACUGCUUUUAUAAGGGAAUAAAGUGAGCCUCGUGAGGCUUUUUGCAUGUACCUUAUGAAUAAGGACCGGCUAAUUCCGUG
RNAcentral lists this ribosomal RNA (494 nucleotides) under uncultured bacterium. Its description in RNAcentral is "bacterial SSU rRNA". It matches the Rfam family "Bacterial small subunit ribosomal RNA", at positions 28 to 507 of the family's 1533-position model. The record is from RNAcentral.